GUGAUAGAGGCGCAGGCUUCAUCAGUAAUCGGUCGGACAUUGUCCUGUACGGGAGUGCACCGAUGAAAGGGGAUCCUGCCGAAGCGCCAUGCUCCUCCCGAGGGCAUGAUCGCUGGGAUAACGCAGAAGAUGCGUUAUACUGUCGUUAAUCAUACAUCAAUAUGUCAUGCCUGAUCGGUGGAG
This 183-nucleotide non-coding RNA is filed under the name uncultured Ruminococcus sp. RNAcentral's name for it is "Lysine riboswitch". It matches the Rfam family "Lysine riboswitch aptamer". From Rfam's summary of the family: Riboswitches are metabolite binding domains within certain messenger RNAs that serve as precision sensors for their corresponding targets. Allosteric rearrangement of mRNA structure is mediated by ligand binding, and this results in modulation of gene expression. This family includes riboswitches that sense lysine in a number of genes involved in lysine metabolism, including lysC. The record is from RNAcentral. Lineage: Bacteria; Bacillati; Bacillota; Clostridia; Eubacteriales; Oscillospiraceae.